Long non-coding RNA from Juglans regia (Persian walnut), 2886 nucleotides. RefSeq lists it as uncharacterized. The transcript is spliced from 5 exons. The record is from RefSeq and is a predicted model, not a curated record. NCBI's taxonomy places the organism in Eukaryota, Viridiplantae, Streptophyta, Magnoliopsida, Fagales, Juglandaceae.
ACUAUCGAUCCUUAUGCACUUCACCUUCAAUACAGCAACCUUUCAUUGUAUUCCCUCCAACCUUCAGGCACAUAACAUAGAGUUACAAGAGGACUUUAACAGCACGACCAUCUCCUUUCCAGCAGCUGCUCAGAGCUUCUCUCCAAAUCAUAUUCCUCAACACGCUGGAUGUAUUUCACCACACUUUGGGAGGUUAACCUUGGGGGAUCGGUUCAGUCAUGUCGUCCCUCAGUUCUGUGGGCUGCUAAGUGUAUAAAUUACAUUAUUUUAGUGGUUUUAUGUCUUCUUUGAGCUUCUGGUGACGGAGAUUGAUCAUGAUGUCACUCCGGGUGGCAAUUAUGUUUCUAAGCUCCUCUAUGACAGCAACUAUUAUGGUGUCAUGCUAAGGAUUUAUUCAGGAUGUCUUGGAUAUAUCCCAUGUUAUAUGGUCUGGGAAUCGGCUGGUUUUCUACCUCUCAUGGUCUCCUCACUGGUGAAGGGUUCUUAUUUCCAAGGUGUGGAGAGCUGAAGUAUUCAAUUGACGAACCGUUGAGAUUGAGGUGAGGACAAAUAAUGCGGGAAAGUGCUGUAAUGCUUCUCUAGAAAUCCCAAAAUUGGGUUUAAGAAUAGCUUAAGGGAUGCAUUUUUUUACCUGGGUAACAAGUGCAUAAAGAGGCAGGGUCACAUAGCCGCAAAGGAGCUGCACAGCCACACCCAUGGUAAUCCUUAUGGUGAAGUCCUCCAUGUUUUCAUUGAAGCAAGACCUUAGGCCAUACUCAUACUGUUAUGGCUAAUGGGUCAGCUUAGGAUGUAAAAAUCUUUGAGUUUACGAGCUUAAAAAACCUACCCAUGUCCAUGUGAAAAAUGCCAGCUGAAAUGAGUUCUGCAUAUAACACAGUCCUGAUCAGUGUGUUAUCAUCAUAUCAUGUAUAGAGAAAUCCAUUUUUGCAUAAACUUCAUUUCUGUAUUUCAAGUAACGUUUGCUAAUUUGUGGACACUCACACAAGUCAACCUGAACUUUUGAAAAAAAUUUAAAUUUAUUGUGGCUAUAUAUUGUUUGCCAUUUUUGCUGUAUGAAUUUUUCUUGUAGUAGGAAGGUUUAAGCUGCAUUAUUUUCUUAUUAUCUAUGUGUGUCUUCAUUUAAGGGGCAAGUUAAUAUCCUUUCCAUGGUUUAGGGCAAGGCACAUUGUUGGCAAUAUGCAAGAAGAUGCACCUUGUCAAUCUAGGAACUAUAUGGUACUCUAUUAGUGAAUUCUGUUUCUUCUACUACGUUUUGAUAUCAGUUUGGGCUGAUUUCCUCAUUUUUUUUAAUGUAUUAUGCCUAUUUGUAUAACAUAUUCAAAAGGACAACAUACUAUGGCCGUGUCAGAUUUCAUGGGGGCUUAUGGAUGGAUGGUCAAGACCUUUAAGUCGUUGGAUUGUAGAUGAUAUGCUUUUCAUUCAAUUAGUCUUAUAUAAGCAAUGUUUGUGAUAUUCUGUACCUGGAUUAGGAUAAGCUGGAGUAGAUGGAGAAGCCAAUCAGGUCUACCAAACCAGAAAUAACUAUCACUAGGGUUUACAAGAAAGGUUCCUUGAGUCACUGGGUUCUCCUUGCAACUUUCCACACACAUUUUGGUUAUUGUGACUUCUAGCUUUGUCCCCACAACUAGAACAAUCUUCAAUGGAAAAUAUAAAGGCAGACAAGAGUGAAGUCAGGACAAAAACAGAGAAGAAAAUGCAAUCUCUUCACUCAUGUUGUUUAAAAUAGAUGAAGUAAUAGUGUCGAUUGAUUAUACCACUAGGGGAACAAAAGGUAGCCAAUAGUGGUUGUAAAACUCUGCAAAAGAAGUCAGGUAAAACAUUGUUAAGAAUGAAAAUGUGUUUUUCUCCAAAAUAUCAAUAAAUGUAUAUAUUUAGUCAAGCAAAUAUGGAAAUUAGAUUCAAUAGAGUUGUUCCCUACCAUGUGCGCUGAAAAAUAUGAAUAGUAUGGAAAAGAUCCAGAUCCAGAACCUGCAAGAGUGAGCACCAAAAUCUUAGUCUGAAUUUGUUGUCCUCGAUAGUUAUCUUUUCUAAGGUUUCAUGCAUAUUGUCAUCACUGCUGCUAUGUUCCUUCUAUGUCUCUGAUUUUCAAAUCUUAUGCUAAUUUCCUGGGCCUAGACAACCUUGUUGUAUGUUGGCAAUGAUAUAUACCUGAUUCCAACAACCUGCUCAAAAUCAUCAUCGAAAGCCCUAGAAAGAAAUUUCUUGAAGUUGAAAUUGCUGCCUUCAGCCACAUUCGCCUGCAGAAGCAACCAAAAGGAAAUUUAGCUAUAAGCUGUCACAGAAGCAUAACACGUUACAGGGGAUUUUGGAUUCGUGAGGCUUGCUCCAGUCUGGCCUCCAAUCGUUAUGUGAGGCUCAUCAUAUUAAACUCACGUACUGGCCAAAGUAGGAGAGGGUGAUCACUCCAAAGCUUUAGAUGACGUCUCCCAAAAGAUGUUUGACGGGAAAGCUGGAACCUCUUUGGAUCUGUACAGAUGACACUAUUAUAAAUCACAGGUCACUUGGGGUAAUGAUCGGGUCGGUAAAGGAGCUCACUCAUCAAUCACAAAUCAAAGAAUUACUACUAUUACAUAUCUAGGAAGAACUCUUUAGAAGUAUUUCGAUGUUGUAAUUUUAGUUAAAUAAUUUCUUUUUACGAGAGAGAUUCAGUUCUGGUUGAGUUCACUUUUCGUUAGCUAGUGUAUGGAUUACAAGUACAGAAGGUCUCUUGGCCAUAAUGAUGUUCAUUGAAUUAUUAGUGAGACAUCUGCAUUAGUCAAUAUCGUUGGAACAGAGAUUUAAUUUCAUUCCACAUGUUCUGUUUCUCACCAUUAAUGAUCAUAUGAAGCGUGUGGUUCGAUUCAAUUGUUAUUUUUCUAUAUACGAUGUAGUUCCCAGCUUGAAGAG